This 505-nucleotide ribosomal RNA is filed under the name Exosphaeroma sp. RW03.285.782. Its description in RNAcentral is "partial 16S ribosomal RNA". It matches the Rfam family "Bacterial large subunit ribosomal RNA", at positions 1807 to 2608 of the family's 2925-position model. The record is from RNAcentral. Lineage: Eukaryota; Metazoa; Arthropoda; Malacostraca; Isopoda; Sphaeromatidae.
UCAAAAACAUCGCUGAUAAAAUAUUCUCAGUAAAAUCUGCCCAGUGAUUUAUUUAACGGCCGCAGUAUCCUGACUGUGCUAAGGUAGCAUAAUCAUUAGUUUUUUAAUUGAAAACUCGUAUGAAUGAUUCGACGAGAAAUUUUCUGUCUCUUAAGUACUUUAACUUGCUUGAAAAGUCAAAAAGCUUUUCUCUCCCAAGAGGACGACAAGACCCUAUAAAGCUUUACUCCUUUCCUAGAUCURCCCCUUAGAAAAAAACUCUCCAGGACGGAGUUUUACUGGGGCGGUAAAUUUUAUUAACAAAUUUUACGACAACAUAUUGAAUGAACUUCACAAACACAUUAAGUAAUCAAGAACAAGUUACUUUAGGGAUAACAGCGCAAUGUCUUUUUAGAGCCCUCAUCGGCAAAGGCGUUUACGACCUCGAUGUUGAAUUGAAGCCCCUCCGCGGGGCAGCCCCCGCGAAAGGAAGUCUGUUCGACUUUUAAUCCUUCACAUGAUCUGA